This 388-nucleotide ribosomal RNA is filed under the name uncultured bacterium. RNAcentral describes it as "bacterial SSU rRNA". It matches the Rfam family "Bacterial small subunit ribosomal RNA", at positions 28 to 424 of the family's 1533-position model. The record is from RNAcentral.
GACGAACGCUGGCGGCGUGCUUAACACAUGCAAGUCGAACGGUGAAGCCUUCGGGUGGAUCAGUGGCGAACGGGUGAGUAACACGUGAGCAAUCUGCCCUUGACUCUGGGAUAACUUCGGGAAACCGGAGCUAAUACCGGAUAUGACAUCUGGCCGCAUGGUCUGGGUGUGGAAAGAUUUAUCGGUCAAGGAUGAGCUCGCGGCCUAUCAGCUUGUUGGUGGGGAAUGGCCCACCAAGGCGACGACGGGUAGCCGGCCUGAGAGGGCGACCGGCCACACUGGGACUGAGACACGGCCCAGACUCCUACGGGAGGCAGCAGUGGGGAAUAUUGCGCAAUGGGCGGAAGCCUGACGCAGCGACGCCGCGUGAGGGAUGAAGGCCUCGGUC